RNAcentral lists this ribosomal RNA (532 nucleotides) under uncultured bacterium. RNAcentral describes it as "bacterial SSU rRNA". It matches the Rfam family "Bacterial small subunit ribosomal RNA", at positions 355 to 896 of the family's 1533-position model. The record is from RNAcentral.
UGGGGAAUAUUGCACAAUGGGCGCAAGCCUGAUGCAGCGACGCCGCGUGAGGGAUGACGGCCUUCGGGUUGUAAACCUCUGUUAGCAGGGAAGAAGAGAGAUUGACGGUACCUGCAGAGAAAGCGCCGGCUAACUACGUGCCAGCAGCCGCGGUAAUACGUAGGGCGCGAGCGUUGUCCGGAAUUAUUGGGCGUAAAGAGCUUGUAGGCGGUUUGUCGCGUCUGCUGUGAAAGGCCGGGGCUUAACUCCGUGUAUUGCAGUGGGUACGGGCAGACUAGAGUGCAGUAGGGGAGACUGGAAUUCCUGGUGUAGCGGUGGAAUGCGCAGAUAUCAGGAGGAACACCGAUGGCGAAGGCAGGUCUCUGGGCUGUAACUGACGCUGAGAAGCGAAAGCAUGGGGAGCGAACAGGAUUAGAUACCCUGGUAGUCCAUGCCGUAAACGUUGGGCACUAGGUGUGGGGGACAUUCCACGUUUUCCGCGCCGUAGCUAACGCAUUAAGUGCCCCGCCUGGGGAGUACGGCCGCAAGGCUA